GAUGAACGCUGGCGGCGUGCCUAAUACAUGCAAGUCGAGCGAACAGACGAGGAGCUUGCUCCUCUGACGUUAGCGGCGGACGGGUGAGUAACACGUGGAUAACCUACCUAUAAGACUGGGAUCACUUCGGGAAACCGGCGCUAAUACCGGAUAAUAUAUUGAACCGCAUGGUUCAAUAGUGAAAGACGGUUUUGCUGUCACUUAUAGAUGGAUCCGCGCCGCAUUAGCUAGUUGGUAAGGUAACGGCUUACCAAGGCGACGAUGCGUAGCCGACCUGAGAGGGGGAUGGGCCACUGUGGAAGUGAGCCGCGGCCCAGACACUGACGGGAGGCAGAAGCAGCGAAGCUUCCGAAAAGGGGGAAAGACUGACGGAGCAACGCAGCGUGAGUGAUGAAGGUCUUCGGAUCGUAAAACGCUGUUAUUAGGGAAGACCAAAUGUGUAAGUAACUAUGCGCGUCUUGCCGGAACCUAAUCAGAAAGCCCCGGUAAAUUACGG
RNAcentral lists this ribosomal RNA (496 nucleotides) under uncultured bacterium. RNAcentral's name for it is "partial 16S ribosomal RNA". It matches the Rfam family "Bacterial small subunit ribosomal RNA", at positions 28 to 506 of the family's 1533-position model. The record is from RNAcentral.